UUCGCCUGUGUUUUCAAAAACAUAGCCUUAUGAAUUAAUAUAAGGUAAAGCCCUGCCCAGUGAUAAGUUCAACGGCCGCAGUACCCUGACUGUGCUAAGGUAGCGUAAUCAGUUGGCUUUUAAAUGGAGUCGAGAAUGAAUGGGACCAUGGGGAUGGGCUGUUUCUAUCCUGAUAGUUUGAAUUUUAUUAGGAGGUGAAAAUCCCUCUGGAGAGAAAAAAGACGAGAAGACCCUUAGAAUCUAAGCCAGCGCUAAGUAACCUACUUGGUGAGCUUUUGUUGGGGCGACAAUGGAGCAAAGCUUAAACCUCCGUUCUUAUGACUUACAUGCCGAAUUUUAUAAGAAGGGAAAGAUUACCUUAGGGAUAACAGCAUAAUUUAAUAAAGUUUGUGACCUCGAUGUUGGACUAGGGACUUUACGACUAGCCGUCGGAUUGGCUGGUUCUGUUCGAACUUUUUACCCCUACAUGAUCUGAGUUCAGACCGGAGA
RNAcentral lists this ribosomal RNA (489 nucleotides) under Pythia cecillii. Its description in RNAcentral is "Pythia cecillei partial 16S ribosomal RNA". It matches the Rfam family "Bacterial large subunit ribosomal RNA", at positions 1795 to 2622 of the family's 2925-position model. Lineage: Eukaryota; Metazoa; Mollusca; Gastropoda; Ellobiida; Ellobiidae. The record is from RNAcentral.